Molecule: ribosomal RNA, 253 nt
Filed under: uncultured bacterium
Lineage: Bacteria
Description: partial 16S ribosomal RNA
Rfam family: Bacterial small subunit ribosomal RNA
Source: RNAcentral
UACGGGGGGGGUAAGCGUUGUUCGGAAUUACUGGGCGUAAAGGGCUCGUAGGCGGCCAACUAAGUCAUACGUGAAAUCCCUCAGCUUAACUGGGGAACUGCGUGUGAUACUGGAUGGCUUGGAUUUGGGAGAGGGAUGCAGAAUUCCAGGUGUAGCGGUGAAAUGCGUAGAUAUCUGGAGGAAUACCGGUGGCGAAGGCGGCAUCCUGGACCGGCAUUGACGCUGAUGAGCGAAAGCUAGGGGAGCAAACGGG